This 633-nucleotide ribosomal RNA is filed under the name uncultured fungus. RNAcentral's name for it is "LSU rRNA". It matches the Rfam family "Eukaryotic large subunit ribosomal RNA", at positions 84 to 733 of the family's 3401-position model. Lineage: Eukaryota; Fungi. The record is from RNAcentral.
UAACGGCGAAGCGAAGCGGCAAUAGCUCAAAUUUGAAAUCUGGCUCUUUCAGGGUCCGAGUUGUAAUUUGCAGAGGGCGCUUUGGCGUCGGCAGCAGCCUAAGUUCCUUGGAACAGGCCAUCAUAGAGGGUGAGAAUCCCGUAUGUGGCUGCUUGUCUUCGCCGUGUAAAGCCCCUUCGAUGAGUCGAGUUGUUUGGGAAUGCAGCUCUAAAUGGGAGGUAAAUUUCUUCUAAAGCUAAAUAUUGGCCAGAGACCGAUAGCGCACAAGUAGAGUGAUCGAAAGAUGAAAAGCACUUUGGAAAGAGAGUCAAAAAGCACGUGAAAUUGUUGAAAGGGAAGCGCUUGCAGCCAGACGUGCCCGUAGUUGCUCAUCGGGGGUUCUCCCCCGUGUACUCUUCUAUGGGCAGGCCAGCAUCAGUCCGGGCGGUUGGAGAAAGACCUGUGUCAUGUAGCUGUUUUCGGGCAGUGUUAUAGGGCAGGUGGAAUGCAACCAGCCUGGACUGAGGUCCGCGCAUCUGCUAGGAUGCUGGCGUAAUGGCUGUAAGCGGCCCGUCUUGAAACACGGACCAAGGAGUCUAACAUCUAUGCGAGUGUUUGGGUGUCAAGCCCGAGCGCGUAAUGAAAGUGAACGGA